RNAcentral lists this ribosomal RNA (441 nucleotides) under uncultured bacterium. RNAcentral describes it as "partial 16S ribosomal RNA". It matches the Rfam family "Bacterial small subunit ribosomal RNA", at positions 339 to 795 of the family's 1533-position model. The record is from RNAcentral.
CUACGGGUUGCUGCAGUGGGGAAUAUUGGGCAAUGGGCGCAAGCCUGACCCAGCAACGCCGCGCGAGGGAAGAAGGUUUUCGGAUUGUAAACCUCUGUCCUUGGGGACGAAGAAGUGACGGUACCCAAGGAGGAAGCUCCGGCUAACUACGUGCCAGCAGCCGCGGUAAUACGUAGGGAGCAAGCGUUGUCCGGAAUUACUGGGCGUAAAGGGUGCGUAGGCGGCAUAUUAAGUCAGGUGUGAAAUACUCGGGCUCAACCCGGGGGCUGCAUUUGAAACUGAUAUGCUUGAGUGUGAGAGAGGAAAGUGGAAUUCCUAGUGUAGCGGUGGAAUGCGUAGAUAUUAGGAGGAACACCAGCGGCGAAGGCGACUUUCUGGCUCAUAACUGACGCUGAGGCACGAAAGCGUGGGGAGCAAACAGGAUUAGAUACCCGUGUAGUC